Molecule: ribosomal RNA, 859 nt
Filed under: uncultured bacterium
Lineage: Bacteria
Description: SSU rRNA
Rfam family: Bacterial small subunit ribosomal RNA
Source: RNAcentral
UACGUAGGGUGCGAGCGUUAAUCGGAAUUACUGGGCGUAAAGCGUGCGCAGGCGGUUGUGUAAGUCAGAUGUGAAAUCCCCGGGCUCAACCUGGGAACUGCAUUUGAGACUGCACGGCUAGAGUGUGACAGAGGGGGGUAGAAUUCCACGUGUAGCAGUGAAAUGCGUAGAGAUGUGGAGGAAUACCGAUGGCGAAGGCAGCCCCCUGGGUUACUACUGACGCUCAUGCACGAAAGCGUGGGGAGCAAACAGGAUUAGAUACCCUGGUAGUCCACGCCCUAAACGAUGUCAACUGGAUGUUGGAGGGGUUAAACUCUUUAGUGUCGUAGCUAACGCGAGAAGUUGACCGCCUGGGGAGUACGGCCGCAAGGCUAAAACUCAAAGGAAUUGACGGGGACCCGCACAAGCGGUGGAUGAUGUGGAUUAAUUCGAUGCAACGCGAAAAACCUUACCUACCCUUGACAUGUCAGGAAUCCUGGAGAGAUCUGGGAGUGCUCGAAAGAGAGCCUGAACACAGGUGCUGCAUGGCUGUCGUCAGCUCGUGUCGCGAGAUGUUGGGUUAAGUCCCGCAACGAGCGCAACCCUUGUCGUUAAUUGCCAUCAUUGAGUUGGGCACUUUAAUGAGACUGCCGGUGACAAACCGGAGGAAGGUGGGGAUGACGUCAAGUCCUCAUGGCCCUUAUGGGUAGGGCUUCACACGUCAUACAAUGGUCGGUUCAGAGGGUUGCCAAGCCGCGAGGUGGAGCCAAUCUCAGAAAGCCGAUCGUAGUCCGGAUUGCAGUCUGCAACUCGACUGCAUGAAGUCGGAAUCGCUAGUAAUCGCGGAUCAGCAUGUCGCGGUGAAUACGUUCCCGGGUCU